GUCUGUUUGUUUUAAAUAAAAAGUCUAGCCUGCCCACUGAAGUAUUAAAGGGCCGCGGUAAUUUGACCGUGCGAAGGUAGCAUAAUCAUUAGUCUUUUAAUUGGAGGCUUGUAUGAAUGGCUGGAUGAAAGACAUUCUGUCUUUUUCUCAGGAAAAGAAUUUAACUUUUAAGUGAAAAGGCUUAGAUUUUUUGAAGUGACGAUAAGACCCUAUAAAACUUUAUAUGCUUUCCCUUUGAUUGAUGAUUAGAGUUUAACUCAAUUUUGGUUGCGGCAUAUUUCGUUGGGGAAACGUUGAUAUAAAAGAGUAAUUGUUUGUUAAAAUUAAUAGUUAAUAGCUAGGUUAUGAUCCCUUCUUAUGGAUUAAAAGGUUAAGUUACUUUAGGGAUAACAGCGUAAUUUUUCUUGAGAGUUCUUAUCGACAGAAUAAGUUGCGACCUCGAUGUUGAAUUAAAGUUUCAGGUAGGUGUAGCCGUUUAUCUGGUAGGUCUGUUCGACCUUUAAAGCUUUACAUGAUUUGAGUUCAAACCGGUGUGAG
Molecule: ribosomal RNA, 537 nt
Filed under: Periclimenaeus apomonosi
Lineage: Eukaryota; Metazoa; Arthropoda; Malacostraca; Decapoda; Palaemonidae
Description: partial large subunit ribosomal RNA
Rfam family: Bacterial large subunit ribosomal RNA
Source: RNAcentral